Molecule: long non-coding RNA, 1910 nt
Organism: Impatiens glandulifera
Lineage: Eukaryota; Viridiplantae; Streptophyta; Magnoliopsida; Ericales; Balsaminaceae
Exons: 3
Source: RefSeq, a predicted model, not a curated record
AGAUUGGGUUUUUAUUCAUGUGAAGAAGAUGUUGAAUAAUCAAGCUUAUGAAGUAGGACAGAACUUGCAGUUAAAACUUGGCGAGUAUAUUUUGGAUUUCUUUACCAUGUGGAGGAUAAAAUAUAUACUAUCGAUAUCAAGAACUAAACUUUUUUGCUGGCUCAUUGUUGAUUCUCAAUACAAAUACAGUUUCUUCGGUGUGUAUUUUGUUUUUACACUGUAGUGAAGCCUCUUCCUCAAGCAAUGUCGUAUAAUGUUUCUCGUACCAUGAGCUUCUUCACCCGAAUCUUCACUCAAUUCAUCGGUACCCUUCUUUCUCUCUUUCUCUGUUCUUGCUGGUUUUUACAAUCAAACCUGAAUUAGAUUAGAUUGUGGUUUUUACAAUCAAACCUGAAUUAGAUUAGAUUGUGGUUUUUACAAUCAAACUUGAAAUAGAUUAGAUUAGCGAUAGUGAUUUACUGACACUAGGUUUGGUUGUGACUAACAUUCUUGUAUGGCUGUCUAUCAAACCUAAAACAGUAUCAACGGUGAGCCGUCAAUUAGCAAAAUUGAUUUCUCUCAACCGAUCUUGGUCAUUUAGGAUCUCAUUUUUGUACAACUUUGAAUGAUAAUGUUUCAGAUUUAUCCAGAAUGUAUGGUUUGCCAAAGGAUAAGUACUCAUCUUCCUCAUCUUGUUGUUUCAAAGCUAUUAUGGUAUUCUUCCAUUUUUCUUUUAAUUUAAUGUGUUACUUUUUCAACUCAAAAAACUGAUUCAAUGAGCUAUUAUGGUGGUCUUGGGGAGGUUCUUGGUAGAAAUGAGCUUAUUGAUAGUUUGAUUGAGAUAAAGUUCUAAAGUAUGUACGUUUAAUUUUAUGAAUUUUGCGGUUUUAUAUAUCUCUUAGAUGCUAAAGGUACUAUUAUUUUCCUUGGUUGGACAGAAAACAUAGACAAGACUGUUAUUUUUCAAUUUAUGCUUGAAGAAGGGAAGGUGAAACAAUUUAAGGAUGUUAUUGAGAGUAUCUAUUGGUUUGAAUUCUUAAUAGGUAAGUUGUAUUUUGGACUUUAUAGGCAUCUCCUUCUCCAUUUGUCAAUAUUAUGAAGCUGAAAAGAGCUAAGCAAAUAGAAAACUAAGGAAACAUGAGGUUGACUUAGUUUUCUUCUCCAUUACACUAAUCAAGCAUUAUUUUGAUUGGGGCUGAGGAUUUAAAAAUAUCAACUAUCUUUCAAUUCUAAUCCAAGCAGGUGCACCCAUCCAUUUUUUCUGUGAAGUCAACUCACUUUGAUUCAUUGAAACAUAUGAACACAAACUCUUACAUUUAUGCAGAAUUCCAAAUCAGAGUUGAUCUUUAUGUCAAUUUCUUGUUUGUAUUUUAUAUAGUUUUAAUUUAAUGGUUUAACAUUAUUUUACAACAGAAGAUAUUCAUGUUCUUAUCUAAAUUUUUAUUUUUUUUUAUUUCAUCGGGCCUAUCCUUUCUUUUUCUUUGAGCAUCAGGUAAUCUAUGUCCUGCUGCAUUGCUAGUUAAGUUUGACUUCUAAUAGUGAGUGUAUUAAUUCACAAAUAAAUAAGUUGGAAUAUUUGUUGGUUUACAAGGGAGCUGUCGAGACAUUUUCCACGCGAAAAUGAAUCUACUUAAGAGUUUUGUGGCUAAACUCUCUGCACUUUCGGUGAUAGUAAACCAAAUUGAGUGUAAGAAACUUGCAUGAAACUGGAUUGUGGUUUCAGCCUUUGGUAGUAGUUGUUCGAUUGGCCUGAAUGGUUCAUUGCUUAUGGAGUACUAUUUGGAGCUUCGUGUUUGAAGUAGAAUUUCGAAUAUCUUAUUGUUUCUGUCCUGGGGAGGCUUUUUGCACAGAAGGGUAAGCGGGUAGUUAUAGAAAGUUCAAUUUUGCAUAUCAUUGUAAUGUCAACAUGCAGGAAAAUAUACAACUAGAGA